RNAcentral lists this ribosomal RNA (484 nucleotides) under uncultured bacterium. Its description in RNAcentral is "partial 16S ribosomal RNA". It matches the Rfam family "Bacterial small subunit ribosomal RNA", at positions 30 to 507 of the family's 1533-position model. The record is from RNAcentral.
AUUGAACGCUGGCGGCAGGCCUAACACAUGCAAGUCGAGCGGAUGAAGGGAGCUUGCUCCUGGAUUCAGCGGCGGACGGGUGAGUAAUGCCUAGGAAUCUGCCUGGUAGUGGGGGAUAACGUCCGGAAACGGGCGCUAAUACCGCAUACGUCCUGAGGGAGAAAGUGGGGGAUCUUCGGACCUCACGCUAUCAGAUGAGCCUAGGUCGGAUUAGCUAGUUGGUGGGGUAAAGGCCUACCAAGGCGACGAUCCGUAACUGGUCUGAGAGGAUGAUCAGUCACCCUGGAACUGAGACACGGCCCAGACUCCUACGGGAGGCAGCAGUGGGGAAUAUUGGACAAUGGGCGAAAGCCUGAUCCAGCCAUGCCGCGUGUGUGAAGAAGGUCUUCGGAUUGUAAAGCACUUUAAGUUGGGAGGAAGGGCAGUAAGUUAAUACCUUGCUGUUUUGACGUUACCAACAGAAUAAGCACCGGCUAACUUCGUG